GGAGAGAUGGCAGAGUGGUCGAUUGCGGCGGUCUUGAAUACCGUUGAGGUGAAAGCCUCCGGGGGUUCGAAUCCCUCUUUCUCCGCCA
RNAcentral lists this transfer RNA (88 nucleotides) under Bacteroidetes bacterium HGW-Bacteroidetes-6. RNAcentral's name for it is "tRNA-Ser". It matches the Rfam family "tRNA". Rfam says of the family: Transfer RNA (tRNA) molecules are approximately 80 nucleotides in length. Lineage: Bacteria; Pseudomonadati; Bacteroidota. The record is from RNAcentral.